RNAcentral lists this ribosomal RNA (253 nucleotides) under uncultured bacterium. Its description in RNAcentral is "partial 16S ribosomal RNA". It matches the Rfam family "Bacterial small subunit ribosomal RNA", at positions 524 to 776 of the family's 1533-position model. The record is from RNAcentral.
UACGUAGGGUGCAAGCGUUGUCCGGCAUUAUUGGGCGUAAAGAGCUUGUAGGCGGUUUGUCGCGUCUGCUGUGAAAUUUCGGGGCUCAACCCCGAACAUGCAGUGGGUACGGGCAGACUAGAGUGUGGUAGGGGAGACUGGAAUUCCUGGUGUAGCGGUGAAAUGCGCAGAUAUCAGGAGGAACACCGAUGGCGAAGGCAGGUCUCUGGGCCACUACUGACGCUGAGAAGCGAAAGCAUGGGGAGCGAACAGG